This 298-nucleotide long non-coding RNA is filed under the name Elaeis guineensis (African oil palm). RNAcentral's name for it is "long non-coding RNA (EGUI_LNC027874)". The record is from RNAcentral. Lineage: Eukaryota; Viridiplantae; Streptophyta; Magnoliopsida; Arecales; Arecaceae.
UAAUCAAAUUAAGUCAAUUAGCAAUCAAAUUACUAAUCGAUCCUCCUGCAACACUUGCAUUGGGUUAAAUGUCAAUCGUAUUGAUCAUUUAACCCUAGAACGAUUCUUAAUUAUUGAUCAACCAUCCGAUCGGAUCAUGAACUCUAAUGUGUGUGACUUCAUAGGUCUGAAUCUAAGUCAGUAGCAUAGAAAUAAAUUUCUAUACCAAUCGAAGUGACCAUCUAGCAAUGGUACCCGACGAUCGGAUAGGUCGAAUGUGUAGAACAACAUCCUUAGAACCCAUGCGGAUAUAGUUUCC